ACCAGAACCAACACACUGAGGCAAGGGCCGCGGAAUGGUUGAAUGAAUCCUUCCCUGUGAAAAUGUGGUGCUCUUCUGUGCUGAUUUGUAUUUUCCAAGCGCGUAGUACAGUGCUCUGCACACAAUAAGGUAACUGAGGCCCAGAGAAGUGGAGCGACUUACUCAAGGUCACGCAGCAGACGUGACACCUCAGUUCUUCCUCUGCGCC
This is a long non-coding RNA of Tachyglossus aculeatus (Australian echidna), 208 nucleotides long. RefSeq lists it as uncharacterized. NCBI's taxonomy places the organism in Eukaryota, Metazoa, Chordata, Mammalia, Monotremata, Tachyglossidae. The transcript has 3 exons. The record is from RefSeq and is a predicted model, not a curated record.